Molecule: ribosomal RNA, 318 nt
Filed under: uncultured eukaryote
Lineage: Eukaryota
Description: partial 18S ribosomal RNA
Rfam family: Eukaryotic small subunit ribosomal RNA
Source: RNAcentral
CCCUUAGAUGUCCUGGGCCGCACGCGUGCUACACUGACGCAUACAGCGAGCACUUUCCAGUUCCGAGAGGCUACUGGUAAUCAUCAAUAUGCGUCGUGAUGGGGAUAGAUCUUUGGAAUUCUGGAUCUUGAACGAGGAAUGCCUAGUAAUCGCAGGUCAUUAGCCUGCGAUGAUUAAGUCCCUGCCCUUUGUACACACCGCCCGUCGCUACUACCGAUUUCGAGUGGUCAGGUGAAUCUUUCGGACUGUGGGCGCCCUUGAGGUGUUCGCGGAAAGUCAGGUAAAUCUUAUCACUUAGAGGAAGUAAAAGUCGUAACG